This 389-nucleotide ribosomal RNA is filed under the name uncultured bacterium. RNAcentral describes it as "bacterial SSU rRNA". It matches the Rfam family "Bacterial small subunit ribosomal RNA", at positions 30 to 424 of the family's 1533-position model. The record is from RNAcentral.
AUUGAACGCUGGCGGCAUGCUUUACACAUGCAAGUCGAACGGACUUAGGUGCUUGCACCUAGGUUAGUGGCGAACGGGUGAGUAAUGCAUCGGAACGUACCGUGUAAUGGGGGAUAACGCAGCGAAAGUUGUGCUAAUACCGCAUACGAUCUACGGAUGAAAGCAGGGGAUCGCAAGACCUUGCGUUAUACGAGCGGCCGAUGUCGGAUUAGCUAGUUGGUAGGUAAAGGCCUACCAAGGCAACGAUCCGUAGCGGGUCUGAGAGGAUGAUCCGCCACACUGGGACUGAGACACGGCCCAGACUCCUACGGGAGGCAGCAGUGGGGAAUUUUGGACAAUGGGCGCAAGCCUGAUCCAGCCAUGCCGCGUGAGUGAAGAAGGCCUCGGUU